UACCUUUAUUACGUGUUGUUCUCUUCUAUCUGUUGUUUUGUCACAUUGUACACCUGUUGACUAAAAUUCUGAUUCAUUUACUUAUUUAUUUCGGACACUUUGUAACUCAUGACACAACUAUUAUCUUUACGGCUGACUUCUCUCCUGUAAUCCUGAUACCUAUUAAUGUUUGUAAUUAAAUUUUCUGAGUUUUGACCUAUAUUCUAAUUUACUUUUCUUACCAAACGCGACUCCAGUAAUCGGAAAUUUUGUAAACGUGUAGUCUAAUAUUUGUUUUUAAGGGUUUGUUUUCUUUUUUUUCUUUCGUUCUGUCCAUUUGCAUUGCUUUGAUUAUGUUUAUUUGUUCAGACAUUUUGUAGUUAAUGACAUUCCAAUUAGAACUUUAACGGUUCCAAUUUUUACAGCCCUAGUGAAUUUAUUUGUUAAUUUGCGUUUUGUUGAUUGAGAUAAGCCUUCCAUUGAUAUCUUUUAACUGUGUCUUUCUAUGUUGUGGUGUUAUACUAUUAUUUCAGAAAAGGGAGAAGGUUUGGUACCAUACAAAAGUUUAAUCCUGCUGCAAAUUCAUUAUUUUGCAGUAGUCAAUAUGCAAAAAAAAAAUAA
Molecule: long non-coding RNA, 600 nt
Filed under: Mytilus galloprovincialis (Mediterranean mussel)
Lineage: Eukaryota; Metazoa; Mollusca; Bivalvia; Mytilida; Mytilidae
Source: RNAcentral